UAACUAUGGGUUGAGACUUGGAAGCUUCUUCAUGGGGAGCAGGGUGCCAAGACAAGGGAUGGAGGAGUCAUUCUGGGGGCGAGUCCUAACAAGAGCCCAGGGAUGAGAUAAGAGGCAUUGUGCAUGUUAUGCUGACCACAAAACAAGACCGGCCAAGAAGAGACUGGAAGGCACAUUGUUUCUGGUGGCCUGAUCACAGAAAAUGGUGGAAAUCUGGUUUUUAAUCACUCAGGAGAGUUUUUUCUGGCU
This 249-nucleotide long non-coding RNA is filed under the name Homo sapiens (human). RNAcentral's name for it is "non-protein coding lnc-CDCA2-6:1". The record is from RNAcentral. Lineage: Eukaryota; Metazoa; Chordata; Mammalia; Primates; Hominidae.